AACGAACGCUGGCGGCAUGCCUAACACAUGCAAGUCGAACGGGACCUUCGGGUCUAGGGGCGCACGGGGGCGUAACGCGGGGGAACCUACCCGUGGGUUCGGAAUAACUCCCCGAAAGGGGUGCUAAUACCGGAUGAUGUCUUCGGACCAAAGAUUUAUCGCCGUUGGAUGGGCCCGCGUUGGAUUAGCUAGUUGGUAGGGGAAAAGCCUACCAAGGCGACGAUCCAUAGCUGGUCUGAGAGGAUGCUCAGCCACACUUGGACUGCGACACGGCCCAGAAUCCUACGGGAGGCAGCAGUGGGGAAUACUGGACACGGGGCGCAAGCCUGAUCCAGCCACGCCGCGUGAGUGAUGAAGGCGUUAGGGUUGUAAAUCUCUUUUACCCGGGAUGAUAAUGACAGUACCGGGUGAAUAAGCUCCGGCUAACUCCGUG
Molecule: ribosomal RNA, 433 nt
Filed under: uncultured bacterium
Lineage: Bacteria
Description: partial 16S ribosomal RNA
Rfam family: Bacterial small subunit ribosomal RNA
Source: RNAcentral